Molecule: ribosomal RNA, 253 nt
Filed under: uncultured bacterium
Lineage: Bacteria
Description: partial 16S ribosomal RNA
Rfam family: Bacterial small subunit ribosomal RNA
Source: RNAcentral
UACAGAGGUCCCAAGCGUUGUUCGGAUUCACUGGGCGUAAAGGGUGCGUAGGUGGCCAGGUAAGUUUGGUGUGAAAGCUCGGAGCUUAACUCCGAAAAGUCAUUGAAUACUAUCUGGCUGGAGGGUCGGAGGGGAGACUGGAAUUCCUGGUGUAGCGGUGAAAUGCGCAGAUAUCAGGAGGAACACCGGUGGCGAAGGCGGGUCUCUGGGCCGUAACUGACGCUGAGGAGCGAAAGCAUGGGGAGCGAACAGG